AACGAACGCUGGCGGCAGGCCUAACACAUGCAAGUCGAGCGAACCCUUCGGGGUUAGCGGCGGACGGGUUAGUAACGCGUGGGAAUAUACCCUUUGGUACGGAAUAGCCUCGGGAAACUGAGAGUAAUACCGUAUGUGCCCUUCGGGGAAAGAUUAUCGCCAAAGGAUUAGCCCGCGUUGGAUUAGAUAGUUGGUGGGGUAAUGGCCUACCAAGUCUACGAUCCAUAGCUGGUUUGAGAGGAUGAUCAGCAACACUGGGACUGAGACACGGCCCAGACUCCUACGGGAGGCAGCAGUGGGGAAUCUUAGACAAUGGGCGCAAGCCUGAUCUAGCCAUGCCGCGUGGACGAUGAAGGCCUUAGGGUUGUAAAGUCCUUUCAGAUGGGAAGAUAAUGACGGUACCAUCAGAAGAAGCCCCGGCUAACUCCGUGCCUGCAGCCGCGGUAAAGUGACUACUG
Molecule: ribosomal RNA, 458 nt
Filed under: uncultured bacterium
Lineage: Bacteria
Description: bacterial SSU rRNA
Rfam family: Bacterial small subunit ribosomal RNA
Source: RNAcentral